RNAcentral lists this ribosomal RNA (372 nucleotides) under uncultured organism. Its description in RNAcentral is "partial 16S ribosomal RNA". It matches the Rfam family "Bacterial small subunit ribosomal RNA", at positions 527 to 896 of the family's 1533-position model. The record is from RNAcentral.
AGAGGGUGCGAGCGUUAAUCGGAAUUACUGGGGCGUAAAGGGGCGCGUAGGUGGUUUUGUCAGUGGUAGGUGAAAGGCCCGAGCUUAACUUGAGCAUGCCCUAUGAUACAGCAAGACUAGAGUGCAGUAGAGGGAAGAGGAAUUUCCGGUGUAGCGGUGAAAUGCGUAGAUAUCGGAAAGAACACCGAUGGCGAAGGCAUCUUCCUGGACUGAUACUGACACUGAGGCGCGAAAGCGUGGGGAGCAAACAGGAUUAGAGACCCUGGUAGUCCACGCCGUAAACGAUGAGAACUGGCUGUUGCUAUGCGAUGCAUAGCAGUGGCUGAGCAAACGCAUUAAGUUCUCCGCCUGGGGAGUACGGCCGCAAGGCUA